GGGUAGUGCAAGUGAACUGAACUUCUGCGUCGGUGUAGGCUACACUAUAUUCUUAAAUGCACCCAACUUUAAUCAUGCGCUGAGAUUUAUAAUAGAGGAAAAAACUAGCUGGAUGUUCGGAUUAUGAGUAGACUGGGACCUAGGCGGAAAACUUCAAGAUUUUUCCUAAAAAAAAAAUAUUCCAAAAAGAAAACUUGGGACUGAUUGUGCGCGCUUUGAGGCCAAAAUCUGCAGUCUAAAAGCAGGUAAGCCACUGACUAACGCACAUUGUGCCAGUUUCCAGUUCCACUGUGCGUGUGACAGCGGCUAACCUGGUUUUGGGAACACCUCUCAUAUUUUUGACUCGUCUGAGACCCAGCCAGAGCCGGAUCAGACAGACACCUGUUUACAAGCAGCCCUUGAUCGUGGCCCCGUGAGCACCGCCUGGACAUAAAUGCUCUCCCAGUGGUCUCCAUGUGUACCGUAACCUACUUCCUACUAUGUUCAUACAGUACCUUAUUUAGGACCGUGUGGGGUUUGCACUCCCUCCUCUUUAAUGCCAUCGUUUGAGACUGCUGGUGAGUGUUUCGUUUCAGUUUCUGUUUCAUCUGUUGGGUUUAGAUCAUGUUCAUGUUCACUGGUUACCAAUUUGAGGUCAGGGGGCCUCCAGAGGGUUCUUCCAAGAGGUUCCUUUGGGCCCAUAAGGAAAAGAUGAACAGUGCUAUAAAGAAACUCGGUUUCAGGACAGAAUGGAUAAUAUUAUGCAUAGUAAUCAGACUAUAACCAAUUUAUUACUAAAUUCUAUAUAGUGACACAACCUUACCAUGUAAGAAAAUACAUAUGGAUUGCAGCAAUACAGUAUGUACAAUGUAUGCUUGUAAGUAACCAAAGUAAAGUUUCUGCUCAAAUCAA
This is a long non-coding RNA of Oreochromis aureus, 891 nucleotides long. RefSeq lists it as uncharacterized. The transcript has 2 exons. Lineage: Eukaryota; Metazoa; Chordata; Actinopteri; Cichliformes; Cichlidae. The record is from RefSeq and is a predicted model, not a curated record.